UACGGAGGAUGCAAGCGUUAUCCGGAUUCAUUGGGUUUAAAGGGUGCGUAGGCGGACUAUUAAGUCAGUGGUGAAAGCCUGCAGCUUAACUGCAGAACUGCCAUUGAUACUGAUAGUCUUGAGUUUGGUUAAGGUAGUCGGAAUGUGUAAUGUAGCGGUGAAAUGCUUAGAUAUUACACAGAACACCAAUUGCGUAGGCAGCUUACUGAGCCGACACUGACGCUGAGGCACGAAAGCGUGGGGAGUCGAACA
Molecule: ribosomal RNA, 252 nt
Filed under: uncultured prokaryote
Description: partial 16S ribosomal RNA
Rfam family: Bacterial small subunit ribosomal RNA
Source: RNAcentral